Molecule: ribosomal RNA, 461 nt
Filed under: uncultured bacterium
Lineage: Bacteria
Description: SSU rRNA
Rfam family: Bacterial small subunit ribosomal RNA
Source: RNAcentral
AGGAUGAACGCUGGCGGCGUGCCUAAUACAUGCAAGUCGAGCGGUAAGGCCUCUUCGGAGGUACACGAGCGGCGGACGGCUGAGUAACACGUAGGAACGUACCCCAAAGUGAGGGAUAAGCUCUGGAAACAGAGUCUAAUACCGCAUGUGGUCCAAGGAUUAAAGCUUCGGCGCUUUGGGAACGGCCUGCGUCCGAUUAGCUUGUUGGUGAGGUAAAAGCUUACCAAGGCGACGAUCGGUAGCUGGUCUGAGAGGAUGAUCAGCCAGACUGGGACUGAGACACGGCCCAGACUCCUACGGGAGGCAGCAGUAGGGAAUUUUCCACAAUGGGCGAAAGCCUGAUGGAGCAACGCCGCGUGCAGGAUGAAUGCCUUAGGGUUGUAAACUGCUUUUAUAUGUGACGAUUAUGACUGUAGCAUAUGAAUAAGGAUCGGCUAACUCCGUGCCAGCAGCCGACGUAA